Molecule: long non-coding RNA, 939 nt
Organism: Lynx canadensis (Canada lynx)
Lineage: Eukaryota; Metazoa; Chordata; Mammalia; Carnivora; Felidae
Exons: 2
Source: RefSeq, a predicted model, not a curated record
AUAAUACCCUCUAGUUCCAUCCAUGAAGUUGCAAGGGAGGAACUUUUUAAUUUAUUGCCAGCCUUAUUUAUGCUUUGGCAGGAAAUAAUGCAGCUUGAUAUUUAAAGUAGAUUGUGAAUUAAGAAUAUAUGAUUUAUUUUUAUAAAUUAUACCAAUUAUAAUUAUACAAAUGUACCCAUGAUUCAUUAUGUUAUUUUAGAAAAGUCACUCAAGAGCAAAAUAUUUUAAAUAGGUUAAACUUAGAGCAUAACAUGGACCCAUUUAUAGAAAAUUGAAAAUUGGGCACAAAUUAGGCCUUUGGGAAAGAAUCAUAACAGUAACAGUAGCAGCCAGAGUCACAACCCCAUACUGUUUGUCAUGUGCCAGGUACUAUUCCAAGCCUCCCACAUAUCCAGCUCCUUUAACUGGGUGGGUACCAGAGUCCCAGGAAGGUCACGUCACCUAGACCUGGUCAUUGCUAGAGCCAGGCUAGGGCCAGGUAUCAUGCUCCAGAGAUCAGAUUUUUAAUGACUGUGCACACCACCUACAUCACACAUUGCCUGUUUCUCACGUCAGACCCGUGACAUAGCUAUUUUUAUCUAUAUUUUGCAGAUGAGCAGGCUGAAGUUUUCUAACAUUCUGUAGCUUAUUCAGUCAUCCAAUGAGGAAGCAACUGCACUGGUGUUAGAACCUAAAGCUCUAACUUCAGAUAGUCUUUUUCCACCACGUCCCUUUGGAAGGAAUCAGGCCCAGCACCUUCCAUAUGGGAAGGACAGCAAAGGAGCAUACUGAAGUUCAGCUUGCAUACGGCUCCAUGCCCAACGUGGGGCUUGAACUCAUGACCCAGAGAUCAGGAGUCACGUGUUCUACCAACUGAGCCAGCCAGGCGACCCUGCAGACUACAUUUUCUGAAUGAAGAGCAGUAAAAAUAGAAACCAAUAAAAAUAGAAAUAAACAAAA